AACUCAUUGAUAAUAUUGUCAGUGGGUCUAGUCCAAUAAAAACAUAUCUUAACUUGUAGACCAGUGAUCUCAAGUUCAAACUUCCAUAACACAUUAGUAUUGCAAAUCUUUCAGAGCUUUGAUUAGUCUAGCUUUGCUUUCCAAAAUUCUAAUGGAUGAUUCAUUGCAAAUAUGCAGAGAAAAAAUUAUAGUUAAAUAUAUAUCCUUGAUCACAAUCUAGCUCCAAUAAGAGAAAGAACCCUCCAAUCUGAUUAAAGGGAGGCAUUCACAUAUACUACACAGUUUCAGAAAAGAAGAAGUAAAAAAUGGAAAAUAAAAU
Molecule: long non-coding RNA, 319 nt
Filed under: Prunus persica (peach)
Lineage: Eukaryota; Viridiplantae; Streptophyta; Magnoliopsida; Rosales; Rosaceae
Description: long non-coding RNA (PPER_LNC008402)
Source: RNAcentral